Macaca fascicularis (crab-eating macaque) is the source of this 111-nucleotide small nuclear RNA. The record is from Ensembl. NCBI's taxonomy places the organism in Eukaryota, Metazoa, Chordata, Mammalia, Primates, Cercopithecidae.
GUGCUUGCUUUGGCGGCACAUAUACCAAAAUUGGAAUGAUACAGAGAAGAUUAGCAUGGCCCCUGCACAAGGAUGACACACAAAUUUGUGAUGCAAAUUUGAGAGGUUGUU